Molecule: ribosomal RNA, 253 nt
Filed under: uncultured bacterium
Lineage: Bacteria
Description: partial 16S ribosomal RNA
Rfam family: Bacterial small subunit ribosomal RNA
Source: RNAcentral
UACGAAGGGGGCUAGCGUUGCUCGGAAUCACUGGGCGUAAAGGGUGCGUAGGCGGGUCUUUAAGUCAGGGGUGAAAUCCUGGAGCUCAACUCCAGAACUGCCUUUGAUACUGAAGAUCUUGAGUUCGGGAGAGGUGAGUGGAACUGCGAGUGUAGAGGUGAAAUUCGUAGAUAUUCGCAAGAACACCAGUGGCGAAGGCGGCUCACUGGCCCGAUACUGACACUGAGGAGCGAAAGCCAGGGGAGCAAACGGG